UGGGGUAGAGCCCACCAAGGCGACGAUCAGUAGCGGGUCUGCCAUAAAAGCCGCCACAUUGGGACUGAGACACGGCCCAACCUUCUACGGGAGGCAGCAGUGGGGAAUUUUGGACAAUGGGGGCAACCCUGAUCCAGCCAUGCCGCGUGUAUGAAGAAGGCCUUCGGGUUGUAAAGUACUUUUGUCGGGGAAGAAAAGGUUAGUGUUAAUACCACUGACUGAUGACGGUACCCGAAGAAUAAGCACCGGCUAACUACGUGCCAGCAGCCGAGGUAAUACGUAGGGUGCAAGCGUUAAUCGGAAUUACUGGGCGUAAAGCGGGCGCAGACGGUUACAUAAGUCAGGUGUGAAAUCCCCGAGCUCAACUUGGGAAUGGCGCUUGAAACUGUGUAGCUAGAGUGUGUCGGAGGGAGGUAGAAUUCCGCGUGUAGCAGUGAAAUGCGUAGAGAUGCGGAGGAAUACCGAUGGCGAAGGCAGCCUCCUGGGAUAACACUGACGUUCAUGCCCGAAAGCGUGGGUAGCAAACAGGAUUAGAUACCCUGGUAGUCCACGCCCUAAACGAUGACAAUUAGCUGUUGGUGUGCUUGCCACAUUAGUAGCGAAGCUAACGCGUGAAAUUGUCCGCCUGGGGAGUACGGUCGCAAAAUUAAAACUCAAAGGAAUUGACGGGGACCCGCACAAGCGGUGGAUGAUGUGGAUUAAUUCCAUGCAACGCGAAGAACCUUACCUGGUCUUGACAUGUACGGAAUCUUUCAGAGACGGAAGAG
This 767-nucleotide ribosomal RNA is filed under the name uncultured bacterium. Its description in RNAcentral is "bacterial SSU rRNA". It matches the Rfam family "Bacterial small subunit ribosomal RNA", at positions 253 to 1014 of the family's 1533-position model. The record is from RNAcentral.